Molecule: small RNA, 420 nt
Filed under: Rhaphoxya sp. QM G333609
Lineage: Eukaryota; Metazoa; Porifera; Demospongiae; Bubarida; Dictyonellidae
Description: sequence contains 28S rRNA gene
Source: RNAcentral
CAAAGAGACCGCGAAACCGUUAGGAGGGAAACGAAUGCAGCUCGAUGGGUUAUGAGCGGGUUCAGGGGCGGUUUUUGGCCAACGAAGUGGCCGUGCAGACCAUAGUGGCUGUACGGUCGUUUGCAGGUGGUGAAUCGUCCUGCACUCCCGUUAAUAACCGGCCAACGUCGGUCUGGUUUGGCUCGAGCGGACGGUCGGAAGGUACCUCWCUGUGCAUGCGCAGGGAGAAUUUAUAGCCGAUCGCUUUCGCAGUUAAACGUAGCGGACCGAGGAGACGUGUGGCAAUCCACACUGGCAGAGCAUGCCCGCCGUUUCAGCGGUGGGCCGGACCGCUUCUAAUCGUUUGAGUAGGCGCUCUUGGGACUGCUUGUCAGUGCUAGUUGACGCCUUGUUCUCCGGGUUGGGAGGCCGGUCGCGUCU